Molecule: long non-coding RNA, 2130 nt
Organism: Ornithorhynchus anatinus (platypus)
Lineage: Eukaryota; Metazoa; Chordata; Mammalia; Monotremata; Ornithorhynchidae
Exons: 3
Source: RefSeq, a predicted model, not a curated record
GCUCCUGCUGUUGAUUUCAAAACCUGCAGCCAGAGCCAAGAGGAAACCCGGAGCUAAUGAGCUCCCCAGCCGCCGGCAGAGCCGUGGCCCCGAAGAACAGAGCCCGUUACGGGGCAGGGAUGGUCUCCGUUGCCCAACUGUCCAUUCCGAGCGCUUGGUACGCUGCUGUGCGCCUAGUAAGCGCUCAAUAAAUACUACCGAAUGAAGCCAGCCUAAAAAUUCUGCGGUCUUACCAUCCGAUUCCAGGAGAACCUGCACUUGCUUUGGCUUGAGCUUUAAAAUUGGAAGUAGAACGGAAGUCACCUGAAUGGGACAAACCACAGUGUUUGGUCCACACUUGGGGGAAUCGAGGAAGGAUCUGCCCCAAGGACCGCCUGGGAAUGGGGAGACGCAAGCCCUUCCACCGAAUGUCAGGGGGCCUGUUUGAGAGAACGUUUCGCUGACGCCCUGGAGGAAGGUCUCUCCGGGUCACGGCUGGAGCACCGCAUGAACAUUUCCCACUGCCGUCCCUACCGAUGCCGAGAAAAGGAAGAUUUCGGCCCCCAGGCCUGUCGAAAUGCUCCCAAAGAUCUCCGAAAGCCCAUUCCAGGAGAAAAGGGAGAUCUCUCUAAGUAGGCUGUCAGAGACUUCGUGUCAUUAUCUGGAGGUCACAAACCCGACAGAUGGCCAUUUAUUGAUGGAUUGAUUGCUUGCUGCCCGAAAUCCCCUCUGUGUCACAUCACUAGAGGGUCGUCCUGAGCUCAAGCUCACAAUGAACAUUUGUUUUGAUUAGGAUGGGGUCCUUCAUCUCCUUCUGGUUCAGAAAUGGAAAACAUCACUAAUAAGUAGUAAGUAACACUGAUGAACAUUAUUAGCAUAAUCCCCCUGGGUCAUAAUUUCACUGUUUUAAAAUAGGCUAGAGUGUCUGUUAUUAAGUCAAAAUGCUUUCAUUUAAAUUUGUUUUUAAAUUGAGGCACUUAAAAUAAGUGGAGUUGAUGGCUUUAAGGGAAGCUGAUUGUAGUGGCACAGUCACACUGGAUUUAGUUAAUGGAUAAAUGACAAAUUUCAAAGGAAAAGCUGACAUUUUCACUUAACUUAGGUCACUGAUGUCACUCGAGGCUGCCUCUUCCAUGUUGGAGAUGUUCUGCACCCGUUCUGUAAAAUUCCAAGAAAAUCUUUCUUCCCCCCAGUAAAUCAUAAUAAUGUAGUAGGAGUAUUUAUGAAGCACGGACUGCAGGCGGAACACCGUCCUAAGCGCUGGGCAAAAAUACCCAGGAGAGAAGGGGCAGACCAUCUCGGAUUUAGUGGAGAGAGGGUGGUUGGUGACGGGUACAUAGGGAAAAAAGAAACAGAAAACAAAAGACAUGAUAAUGAUAAAUAAGAAAAAAAUAACACACUGUGGGCUAGAGGAGUCGACUAGAUUGUAAACUCCUUGUGGGGAGGGAUCACGUCUACUUCCUUUUGUACUUUUUCAUAGUACUUAGUACCAUACUCUGCACUCGAUGCAUAAGAACACAUACAAUGGUGGUUUUUCUCUGAAGCAUAAAAUCCCUUGGCCAAAGAGUUGGAAAAAUCCUUGCCCACAUUCCCUAGGACACUGCCCAAUUUGAAGAAGAUGUUCCCAGGGGUCCUGGCAGGCAGAGAACUAUGCUUCCUUUUCCCAUGAAGACGAGAGCCCCUUAGAUUCGGUUGACCUUUAUCCUCCGACUGCGGGCCAGGAAACCUGACUUGGCCUCGAACGGGACGUCGGGGGAGUCAACGUGUUUGUCUUAACCGACUGCUGUCUGGUGAUCAUUAUUAGAUGGUUUCCCACUGGAAAAUCUUCAAGGGAAAGCUAGCGAUGGCUCACAGUUUCUUUAUUGGUUAAUGGGCUAUGAAAAAUCCCUCCUAGGUGUUUCCUAGUGGAACCACCUGUCAGCUGCCAGCCCUCUCCUGGAUCCAAAUUGUCAAUUCCCUGCCAUAUUCACACAAGCCAGAGAUUUCACUGUGGGCCUAUUCAGUGGCUCUUUCAGAGACAGAAUUCCGGGCUCCAUGGCUGACUGCUCAGACACAAUAUGGCCUUGUUCACAUCCUUAUCUCAUCUUGUAAUAUCACUACCAUUCAUUUGAAGGUGUAAAAAUUGUCAUUAAAUAAAUGUUCUUUAAUAACUCA